Molecule: RNA transcript, 1297 nt
Organism: Rhododendron vialii
Lineage: Eukaryota; Viridiplantae; Streptophyta; Magnoliopsida; Ericales; Ericaceae
Gene name: short-chain dehydrogenase reductase 3b-like
Exons: 3
Source: RefSeq, a predicted model, not a curated record
UUGCAUUGAGGAAUCCAUCUCCUGCACACAUCAAAAUGUCUAAGCCGAGGAGAUUGGAAGGGAAGGUUGCAAUAAUAACAGGAGCAGCCAGUGGGAUUGGGGAGGCAGCUGCAAAACUAUUCGUGGAGAAUGGAGCGUUCGUGGUGGUGGCUGACAUUCAAGAGGAAUUGGGUCUCAAAGUGGUGGCUUCCAUAGCAAGCCCUGAUGUGGACAGAGCCAUUUACAAGAACUGCGAUGUUACGGUGGAGAAGCAGGUGGAAGAAACCGUGGCUUUCGCUAUCGAAAAGUACGGCACCCUCGAUAUCAUGUACUGCAAUGCCGGGAUCCUGGGUCCAAUAGACAGCAUCCUAGACAUGGACAUGGAGGGCUUCAACCGAACCAUGGCUGUAAAUCUGAGAGGACCGGCGUUGUGCAUAAAGCAUGCUGCUCGAGCCAUGGUUAAAAGACAAGUAAGGGGAUCCAUCAUUUGCACGGCCAGCACAGCGUCCGUUCUGGGAGGGCUGUGUCCCAUUGCUUACAACACUUCGAAGCAUGGUUUGGUGGGUCUGGUUAGAGCCGCGGCAAGUGAGCUUGGGAAGCAUGGGAUAAGGAUCAAUUGUGUUUCUCCUCACCUUGUUGCCACUCCCCUGGCAAUAUCGUGGAUGUCAGCGAUGGGCAUUAACAACGCGAGCGGAAGCGGAAUUGAAUUACUAGCAAGCUCCGCAGCCAACUUGAAAGGAGUUGCAUUGAAAGCGAAGCAUGUGGCAGAGGCUGCUCUCUUCCUUGCUUCUGAUGAAUCAUCCGUUUAUGUCAGCGGUCAUAAUUUAGUUGUUGAUGGGGGUUUGACUGUCGUUGAUAAUUCUAUCACUAUGUUAAUGGAGACUGGAGACGCAGAUAAAACAGUGAUGUGAUUAUUGAUCGAUACCUCCAGUUGAUCAUUAGUACUUGAUGUGCUUUUACUAUUAUUACUAGAAAAUGCUUGUCUUUAACUGUUGGACUUCUUAAGUUUUCCAAUAACAAAUACUCCAAUUAAUAAAUAAUUGCAUUUAAGCCUUCACCUUGAUGCUGGAUUAUGUUUCUUGAUGACCUACCAGAUAAAGGCUCAAGAAUUCUUGCUGAAGCUGCUUGUUUGUGUUUAUGGAUGCUUCCAGAUAAAGGCUCACGAGUUUUUGUUGGAUGUAUUUUUUUAUUUUUUUUCUUCUUUUCUUUGGCCUUCCCUGUGAAUCAGGCUUUUUCUUGUAUCUAGAGUUGGACGCCUCGAUGUAUCCCUUUGUCGAAUUCAAUAAAAUUAUAUCUGGUAACCUUUGUAGAUAGAAAA